This 250-nucleotide ribosomal RNA is filed under the name uncultured bacterium. RNAcentral's name for it is "partial 16S ribosomal RNA". It matches the Rfam family "Bacterial small subunit ribosomal RNA", at positions 959 to 1209 of the family's 1533-position model. The record is from RNAcentral.
ACGCGCCGAACCUUACCAGGUCUUGACAUACUCGUGCUAUUCCUAGAGAUAGGAAGUUCCUUCGGGACACGGGAUACAGGUGGUGCAUGGUUGUCGUCAGCUCGUGUCGUGAGAUGUUGGGUUAAGUCCCGCAACGAGCGCAACCCCCUAUUGUUAGUUGCCAUCAUUAAGUUGGGCACUCUAACGAGACUGCCGGUGAUAAACCGGAGGAAGGUGGGGAUGACGUCAAAUCAUCAUGCCCCUUAUGACC